GUGAUGACCAGCCUCUGGACAUAAAGAAAAGCCACCCUCCUGAGGAAGAAGACACCAACAAGAGAAAAACUAGGAGAGGAACAAGAGGAAAAGGGCGGAAAAUCGUCUAUAAUAAAGAAAAACAUCCAAAUGACAAACUAGAUGGACAGAGAGGUUCAAGAGGUUCUUCUGGACAGACAAACAACGUAAAGAACUGCGACCA
This is a long non-coding RNA of Pygocentrus nattereri (red-bellied piranha), 202 nucleotides long. RefSeq lists it as uncharacterized. Lineage: Eukaryota; Metazoa; Chordata; Actinopteri; Characiformes; Serrasalmidae. The transcript has 3 exons. The record is from RefSeq and is a predicted model, not a curated record.